CCCCCACUUGCAUGUAAAGUUAUAAAGGGACAUAACUGAAGAACAGUAAAAGUGAGGCUAGACAAAUUUGUACUUUAUAUGAGUAUUGUAGUAAUAAACGCUGUGAAUGAAUUUCAUAACAUUCAGUGGAAAUAACUUAUAUGGGUAGUUGGUUGAAAAUUUUGGCCAUGGGCAUCAUGACUAAUUUUUAGAUCAAAUUUUGCUGAAAUUCAGAAAACUGGUGAUUUUUUGAUUUUUUACUAUUUCUCUCAAUCUAUUAUACCAGUAGUUUGUGCAAAGCUUCAAAAAUAGGAAAGAGGAGAAGAUUCUUU
RNAcentral lists this long non-coding RNA (311 nucleotides) under Mytilus galloprovincialis (Mediterranean mussel). The record is from RNAcentral. Lineage: Eukaryota; Metazoa; Mollusca; Bivalvia; Mytilida; Mytilidae.